This 468-nucleotide ribosomal RNA is filed under the name uncultured bacterium. RNAcentral's name for it is "partial 16S ribosomal RNA". It matches the Rfam family "Bacterial small subunit ribosomal RNA", at positions 28 to 507 of the family's 1533-position model. The record is from RNAcentral.
GACGAACGCUGGCGGCGUGCUUAACACAUGCAAGUCGAACGGAAAGGCCCUGCUUUUGUGGGGUGCUCGAGUGGCGAACGGGUGAGUAACACGUGAGUAACCUGCCCUUGACUUUGGGAUAACUUCAGGAAACUGGGGCUAAUACCGGAUAGGAGCUCCUGCUGCAUGGUGGGGGUUGGAAAGUUUCGGCGGUUGGGGAUGGACUCGCGGCUUAUCAGCUUGUUGGUGGGGUAGUGGCUUACCAAGGCUUUGACGGGUAGCCGGCCUGAGAGGGUGACCGGGCACAUUGGGACUGAGGAUACGGCCAGACUCCUACGGGAGGCAGCAGUGGGGAAUAUUGCACAAUGGGCGGAAGCCUGAUGCAGCAACGCCGCGUGCGGGAUGACGGCCUUCGGGUUGUAAACCGCUUUCGCCUGUGACGAAGCGUGAGUGACGGUAAUGGGUAAAGAAGCACCGGCUAACUACGUG